UUGCGUUAUGUUGGUGUAUGUCUGAUUUAAUAUUAUUGCUUAAUGGUUAAAGUCUGUGUAUAUUUAUUUAAGUCAAGUCUAUGUGCUGCUUAUAAAAGUAUUCAUGCGUUACUUUAAUAAUAUGUUAGAUGAAAUAUUAAUUGAUUUAGGACUUAAUAGUAAUGUUUAAUUAGUUUGUAAAUGUGAAUAUAGUUUAGCUCUGGUACACACCGCCCGUCACCCUCGGUU
RNAcentral lists this ribosomal RNA (228 nucleotides) under Taenia crassiceps. Its description in RNAcentral is "partial 12S ribosomal RNA". Lineage: Eukaryota; Metazoa; Platyhelminthes; Cestoda; Cyclophyllidea; Taeniidae. The record is from RNAcentral.